GACAGAGGAGCCAAGCGUUGUCCGGAUUGACUGGGCGUAAAGCGCACGCAGGCGGCUCGGCGCGUGGGGUGUGAAAGCUGGCGGCUUAACUGCCAGAUGCCAUCCCAUACGGCUGGGCUCGAGCCCUGCAGAGGUCCAUGGAAUUGCCGGUGUAGUGGUGAAAUGCGUAGAGAUCGGCAGGAACACCCAGGGGAACCAGUGGACUGGGCAGGAGCUGACGCUCAGGUGCGAA
Molecule: ribosomal RNA, 232 nt
Filed under: uncultured bacterium
Lineage: Bacteria
Description: partial 16S ribosomal RNA
Rfam family: Bacterial small subunit ribosomal RNA
Source: RNAcentral